CGGGACGCCUUGGUCGAUGGAAGGGCGGCUUGCACAAAUACUGGGGGCCAUGGACAGGAAAAGAGGGUGAUUCUGCCAUCAGACUCUCCUAUCCUGAACUGACAGCCUGCGGGGAGAGGGACUCAAACUCAAGGUCUCGGUGUUGGAUUUGUACUCUAGAGAGCUCUGCUCCCCCAUGGGAGAGAAGAAGCCUCACUGUGCACCCUCCCCACCCUGCCCUGCUCUCACUGCCUGGUCUCAGGCCUCAACUCCCCACCCAUGGCCUGUGGUGAGAAGGUGCUAAGAACCUAGUUUCAUUUCUGCCCUCCCUGCCCACCCAGAGCAAGGAGAAUCCUAGCUAAAAGGCUGGCAGAGAAGAGCGCCCCAGCACUGUGGGUGGGGCCAGGAGGAGCCCAGGCAACCUUACUGUCAUGCCCAAGAUGAAGCUGAGGGUCCGUCGCAGGGAGGAGCCUGCCCAGGUACCUGAGCCCCCUUCCAGUUGGCUACAGCUGGAGAGAGAAAAAGAAGAGGUGAAGAGAUAGAGCUGGAGCUGGAAAGGAACAACAAG
This is a long non-coding RNA of Camelus dromedarius (Arabian camel), 547 nucleotides long. RefSeq lists it as uncharacterized. Lineage: Eukaryota; Metazoa; Chordata; Mammalia; Artiodactyla; Camelidae. The record is from RefSeq and is a predicted model, not a curated record. The transcript is spliced from 3 exons.